AGAGAGAAGAGAACAGCAGUAGCUGUUGCCAGAAAUAUUGAGCAAGGAAGAUUUAUUAGAUGAAGAUUUCAAAAUACUUUCCAUUGAGGAAACAGGUUGGAGGUGGGAGGCUGUAACCAUGCUUGAUUUUGUACCACCCUAACCUUUGCUUACUUCGCAAGGUUAGGAACAGGCUUCACUUCAUUGUGAUGUGUGUAAGGUGACAGAGGACACAACGAAUACGUGGAAGAACUAGGAAUUUGACCUUAGCUUCCAGACAUUUUGAGGAUGA
Molecule: long non-coding RNA, 271 nt
Organism: Symphalangus syndactylus (siamang)
Lineage: Eukaryota; Metazoa; Chordata; Mammalia; Primates; Hylobatidae
Source: RefSeq, a predicted model, not a curated record